This 1092-nucleotide long non-coding RNA is filed under the name Bemisia tabaci. RNAcentral's name for it is "lncRNA ENSSSA1UGG011383". Lineage: Eukaryota; Metazoa; Arthropoda; Insecta; Hemiptera; Aleyrodidae. The record is from RNAcentral.
UACCCUCUUUGGUAAGAACUAAGACGGGCAGAACUGGCAACUUCACGACUGAACUACCCGAGCCGUAUCGCUCUCUGGCGGCGGAAGACCGAAGUUAUCGCGACGGAGGCAAGCCCAGCGACUCCCUGUCUAGUAGUUCGCGUGUUUUCGAUGAGUCAACUGAAGCGCGAUUUCAACUUGGCGCGUACCUUGUCAGUUGAGUGAAUCCGUGAAAAACAAGUGAUUUUCCAUCGAUUCUUAUCAAUCUGUGAUUGCGUUUAGUGAUAAGACCGGAGGAACCUAUCGGCCGAAUACAACGGUUUAUCUUGCGAGGAGCACGGUGGUACCCAGAGCUUUCGUGCUGGCUGCGUUUUAUGAUAUGUAAGAUUUUUUACGAGUAAACUGCGAGGGUUCGCGCAUGUAAUUUUUCCGGUUCGCGAAGUCUUUUCGUCGAAAACACUUUAAAACAUUGAACAAAUUUAGUGAAGUUAAGUUGGAAUUUCCAACCUGUCGUCGUGUGAAAGUGAUUUAAGUUUUUUGUGCAGUUAGUGACAUUGGAGGUGUGAUACAUGUGCUACUCGGAUUUGUUGGUGGCUCCAUUCCUUAAAAAUUGGUAAGUUACAAAAAAACGCAUACACCUAAGUAAGGAAAAAAUGUCUAGUGUCUCAAUGUCUACAUGUGAUCAUUUAAGGGAAAAGAGAACUUUGGUUUUUGUCCACUAAGUCCACACGAACUCAAAAUUGAGUUCUAUAUGUUCGAGCUCGAGGAAAUAUUUUACGACAUUUCGGGACAAAAACAAACGCCUCGCCCGCCCGCCCCAACAUUUUUAACUAAACCGGAUUAAGGGUAGUUUGAAAUUUGUAGUUUAAAUUACGUGUACUCACGAAAGAGCUACCUGCCAUGAGUUCUUUAAAUUCAAUCUACCAAUUUCCAACAAGUUACUAAAUUGCUGGAUUGUCUUGCAAUUUUAUGCCUUUUUUUUAGCACAAAAAUGAAACAAACAGCUUGCAAUUUCAUUUAUUAGGACACCAGAAAGAGUUCUCUGUCUAAAUCUGAAAAUCCGAUUUUCGAAUUCAACUGGACAAAAAUCGACCCACUGGUUUCAUUUCCGUU